RNAcentral lists this non-coding RNA (88 nucleotides) under Pseudomonas sp. 478. Lineage: Bacteria; Pseudomonadati; Pseudomonadota; Gammaproteobacteria; Pseudomonadales; Pseudomonadaceae. The record is from RNAcentral. RNAcentral also lists the same sequence under 1 other name.
GUGGGAGCGGGCUUGCUCGCGAAGGCGUCGUGUCAGUCAGCAUUUAUGUCAACUGACCCACCGCAUUCGCGAGCAAGCCCGCUCCCAC